Molecule: ribosomal RNA, 252 nt
Filed under: uncultured bacterium
Lineage: Bacteria
Description: partial 16S ribosomal RNA
Rfam family: Bacterial small subunit ribosomal RNA
Source: RNAcentral
UACGGGGGGGCAAGCGUUGUUCGGAAUUUCUGGGCGUAAAGGGCGCGUAGGCGGCCUUCUAAGUCAGACGUGAAAUCCCUCGGCUCAACCGAGGAACUGCGUCUGAUACUGGAAGGCUUGAAUCCGGGAGAGGGAUGUGGAAUUCCAGGUGUAGCGGUGAAAUGCGUAGAUAUCUGGAGGAACACCGGUGGCGAAGGCGGCAUCCUGGACCGGUAUUGACGCUGAGGCGCGAAAGCUAGGGGAGCAAGCGGG